UACGUAGGGAGCAAGCGUUGUCCGGAAUCAUUGGGCGUAAAGCGCGCGUAGGCGGCCCGAUAAGUCCGCUGUGAAAGUCAACGGCUCAACUGUUGGAUGCCGGUGGAUACUGUCGGGCUAGAGUACGGAAGAGGCAAGUGGAAUUCCUGGUGUAGCGGUGGAAUGCGCAGAUAUCAGGAGGAACACCUAUAGCGAAGGCAGCUUGCUGGGUCGAUACUGACGCUCAUGCACGAAAGCGUGGGGAGCAAACAGG
RNAcentral lists this ribosomal RNA (253 nucleotides) under uncultured bacterium. RNAcentral's name for it is "partial 16S ribosomal RNA". It matches the Rfam family "Bacterial small subunit ribosomal RNA", at positions 524 to 776 of the family's 1533-position model. The record is from RNAcentral.